Molecule: long non-coding RNA, 155 nt
Organism: Gopherus evgoodei (Goodes thornscrub tortoise)
Lineage: Eukaryota; Metazoa; Chordata; Testudines; Testudinidae
Exons: 3
Source: RefSeq, a predicted model, not a curated record
AGAUGUGCCUUGGAAGCUGGGGUUCAGAAUACAUGGUAGCUGUGUACUGCAGUUCACCACAGAAGCUCUCUAGUUUGUUUAAUUAAAAAUUUUAUUCCUUUCUCAUUCAUUGGUUUGUUGUUUAAUGAUCAUUACACCAAGGUGAUGCUGGGGGA